AAAAAUGGCAAAGCCGCUGAAAGGCGGUGACGCAAAGCUGAGUGUCUACAGCAGAAAUAUCUGCCAUGAUCGACUGGCUGCA
RNAcentral lists this non-coding RNA (82 nucleotides) under uncultured Anaerotignum sp. RNAcentral's name for it is "Cyclic di-GMP-I riboswitch". It matches the Rfam family "c-di-GMP-I riboswitch aptamer". From Rfam's summary of the family: GEMM was predicted in a large-scale screen for bacterial structured RNA regulatory elements. The record is from RNAcentral. Lineage: Bacteria; Bacillati; Bacillota; Clostridia; Lachnospirales; Anaerotignaceae.